This 443-nucleotide ribosomal RNA is filed under the name uncultured bacterium. RNAcentral describes it as "bacterial SSU rRNA". It matches the Rfam family "Bacterial small subunit ribosomal RNA", at positions 70 to 507 of the family's 1533-position model. The record is from RNAcentral.
CAUGGAGAGCUUGCUCUCUGAUGGCGAGUGGCGAACGGGUGAGUAAUAUAUCGGAACGUGCCCAGUAAUGGGGAAUAACUAAUUGAAAGAUUAGCUAAUACCGCAUACGACCUACGGGUGAAAGCAGGGGAUCUUAGGACCUUGCGUUAUUGGAGCGGCCGAUAUCUGAUUAGCUAGUUGGUAGGGUAAAAGCCUACCAAGGCGACGAUCAGUAGCUGGUCUGAGAGGACGAUCAGCCACACUGGAACUGAGACACGGUCCAGACUCCUACGGGAGGCAGCAGUGGGGAAUUUUGGACAAUGGGGGAAACCCUGAUCCAGCCAUCCCGCGUGAGUGAAGAAGGCCUUCGGGUUGUAAAGCUCUUUCGCAAGAGAAGAAAACUUGCUAUCUAAUAAAUAGUAAGUAUGACGGUAUCUUGACAAGAAGCACCGGCUAACUACGUG